UAUUAUUUUGAAAAAUAUGCUCACUCAAAAUUUGAUAUUUAGGGUCGAAGUCAUGUUAAUAAGGGCCAUAGUGAUAGCGAUGGAGGACAUAUUCCAAUAAAUCUGUCCGACCUGAUUGUGAUGAGCUAGUGCUUAAAAACUAAGUUUAAGGGCAUAGGAAUUGGGAUGAGAAUUUCAUUUCUGUAUUUACUACAAAGGAGUUUAAGGAUAAAAGAAAAUUGCUUGUUGGCUAAAACUGAAAAAUCCGGUCACAGCAGCAUCAAAUUUAGCAUUUUCGAUGUUUGUUUUGAUUGUUUAUGUGGUGGAACAAAUAGAUAAUAUGCAUGGGAGUUAUGGCUUCAGGGUGCAAAGGAGGCAUUUAAUUUGUUAAAAUAAAUAAAGGUACCAAAAGUUUGUGGAUUAGGGUUGUAAUUAAUUAACUAGAGAGAAAAACUUUCUGUUCACCGAGUAAUAGUUGACAUAAACGUGAAUACUGUGGGCAGCCUUGGGAGAUAGAAAAGAAGAAAAGGAAGAAUAAAAGAGGAAAAAAGAUCAUGUUUUUCAACUAGCAAUUCUUUCACAAACUGAAAAUACUUAUAAUAACCAAUUUUAAGAGAUUGUGAUUAUUAAAUUUAUGGCUACUAACAAAA
This 629-nucleotide unclassified non-coding RNA is filed under the name Hevea brasiliensis (rubber tree). Lineage: Eukaryota; Viridiplantae; Streptophyta; Magnoliopsida; Malpighiales; Euphorbiaceae. The record is from RNAcentral.